This 1440-nucleotide ribosomal RNA is filed under the name Triticum aestivum (bread wheat). Its description in RNAcentral is "partial small subunit ribosomal RNA". Lineage: Eukaryota; Viridiplantae; Streptophyta; Magnoliopsida; Poales; Poaceae. The record is from RNAcentral.
AUGGAGAACCUCAUUGCGGCGUCGGCUCGUUUGGCAGCUCUCCCAAUGGAAGGCGACUCGCCAGCAGCAAUUGAAACCUGGAGGGUAAGAAAACUGCUUCAAACAAUUUUGGCCCAGCAGGAUGCAUACUCCUAUAGUCGAGACAUGAUUCAUUCAACUCCUCGCCGAAGCCGGAGCCCGAGUUACAGUAGGCACAUGGAGUCUGCAGAGAUGUCAAGUAAUGCUCAACGCCACAACCGGCCAUAUAGGCAUGAGCCAGUGCGGGCUGGAGCCCUUAACUUGGCGGAUCAGGAGAGGAUUUGUCAAGAGGCGGAACGGGCGGCUCAGAUAGCAGCACAGCAGGCAGCUCACCAAACCUUUCCGGCUUAUCCAGCAACCUCGGUUGAGGCAGGAGUGGUUACAAGAACCGGAGGCGUACCUUGCCUGAUCCCAGCCAUACGCAAUGAGUGGUUGCCCAAGGAUUUCAAGGGACCUCGUAAGGUACCUAACUACACGGCUGACUUACAGCCGGGGGCUUGGAUUGAGAGUUAUGAGAUGGCUAUGGAGCUAUUGGAGGUUAGUGAUGCUGCAAUGACCAAGUACUUUACCAUGAUGUUAGAUGGAACGGCUCGGACUUGGUUGAAAGGAUUACCACCCAAUUCCAUCGGCUCAUGGGCAGAGUUGAAGGCACGGUUCAUCCAAAACUUUAAAGACACGUGUAAGCGGCCAAUGUCAAUUGUGGACCUGACCAAUUGCAAGCAAGAUGAUGGAGAAUCUACAACCCAUUGGGUGCGCCGGGUCAAGGAGGUAAUACAUUCGUCUGAUAAAAUGGACGUCGGCUCAGCAGUUUUGAUGUUGGAGAAAAAUUGCCGUUUUGAACCUCUGAAGCAGAAGUUGGGGCGGCUUAAACGAGACUGCAAUGACAUGGGAACGUUGAUGGCGGCUUUUGUCAAGUAUGCCGAUUCUGAUACCACUAAAGACCCGACGUCUGAUGAAGAAAAGGCAACGAAGGGAAAAAAGAACGGCAAUGGCAAGGGUCACCAGCAUAACCCGGCAAAUCAAGGAGGUAAUAAGCGUAAGGCUGAUGAGUUUGUUGCUAAUACUAAUGCGCAGGGUGGUAAUCAGCGACACAAGGGCAGGCAGCCCCCUCGAUCGGGCAGGUCAGGCCCCACCCUUGAGCAGCUGUUGAAUGAACCUUGUCCAAAACACGGUACCAGGGAGAAGCCAGCUACCCACUUGUGGAAGGAUUGCACGAUCAUGAAGGCGUUUAAAAAUUCAAAUGCAUUUGAUGGGGGUCAUGGUUCUGGUGGCGGCUCAGGCGGCUUUCAGGGCCCGGGCGCCGAUUCAGGUGGAGGAGUUUUCAUGGUCAUCCUGGUCACCAGGGAGGAUAUAAUCAGUAACACGGCCAAUGGAAUCAACAGCAGCAACAAUCCGGCUAUCAGAGCAACCCGAAGCAGUUGA